Molecule: ribosomal RNA, 602 nt
Filed under: Alteromonas macleodii
Lineage: Bacteria; Pseudomonadati; Pseudomonadota; Gammaproteobacteria; Alteromonadales; Alteromonadaceae
Description: bacterial SSU rRNA
Rfam family: Bacterial small subunit ribosomal RNA
Source: RNAcentral
GGUAACAUAUAUACUAGCUUGCUAGAAGAUAGACGAGUGGCGGACGGGUGAGUAAUGCUUGGGAACUUGCCUUUGCGAGGGGGAUAACAGUUGGAAACGACUGCUAAUACCGCAUAAUGUCUUCGGACCAAACGGGGCUUCGGCUCCGGCGCAAAGAGAGGCCCAAGUGAGAUUAGCUAGUUGGUAAGGUAACGGCUUACCAAGGCGACGAUCUCUAGCUGUUCUGAGAGGAAGAUCAGCCACACUGGGACUGAGACACGGCCCAGACUCCUACGGGAGGCAGCAGUGGGGAAUAUUGCACAAUGGGGGAAACCCUGAUGCAGCCAUGCCGCGUGUGUGAAGAAGGCCUUCGGGUUGUAAAGCACUUUCAGUUGUGAGGAAAAGUUAGUAGUUAAUACCUGCUAGCCGUGACGUUAACAACAGAAGAAGCACCGGCUAACUCCGUGCCAGCAGCCGCGGUAAUACGGAGGGUGCGAGCGUUAAUCGGAAUUACUGGGCGUAAAGCGCACGCAGGCGGUUUGUUAAGCUAGAUGUGAAAGCCCCGGGCUCAACCUGGGAUGGUCAUUUAGAACUGGGAGACUAUAGUCUUGGAGAGGGGAGUG